This 25404-nucleotide long non-coding RNA is filed under the name Vitis vinifera (wine grape). Its description in RNAcentral is "long non-coding RNA (VVIN_LNC003936)". Lineage: Eukaryota; Viridiplantae; Streptophyta; Magnoliopsida; Vitales; Vitaceae. The record is from RNAcentral.
UGUUAAGCCCUUUAAAAAGUGACAUUAUAAGUAUCAUUUUCCAUGGAAUAAUUCCUUAGAAAGUUCAUGGCAGAAUUUGAGUCCCAAUUUUCUUCAUGACAAAUAUGAGAACUCUGAAAGCCAUCUCUUCCCUAAACCAUUCCUGAUAAUCAAUUUUGAGAGUCAUAAAACUGUUUCAUCGAUGACAGCAGCUAAAUAUCAGGAAUUGCAGAGCCUCAACUCUCUUGAAGAAUUGUGUAUGUACAAAUACCAUUGCUCAUACUGUUAUUGGAACUAAGAGAGCAAAGCAUGCCCUAUUUUUGUUGGAUUUAAGAGUUUUAAUUUUCCUAAGAUAGAUACUUGGAAGCUGGAACAAGGAUAUGAAAGAGAUCAAGAAGAGAUUGAGCACAGGUUGGCCAAAAUGUUAAGCAUACAUAUUCAUUCAAAAACAUCCUUUGAGCAAUUUGAGAAUACCCACCAAUUCUCAAUUUUCUAUGACUUGUUUCCACUUCCAUAACAUCAAUGUCUGAACUUAUCUAUCUUACAGAGGCACAGAGAAAAUCAAUGAGAUCUGUAAUUGCAGAAUCACAGUUCAAUGAUACAUGUUGAGGCCUCGCGUCCCUGGUGAUCCACGUAGUUGCCAAAUGGGUGGACGCACGAUCUCAACCAAUAUAAGUUCUUGAUUCAGUCGGCCUACCUGCAAAAGGCAUCCGAACAGGGUGUCCGGACGCACCCUCCGAUGGUUUUGUCAACCAUGGUUAGAGAGAGAUAAAUCAGUUGGCCUUUUACUAGGUAUCAAAAGCUUACCUUCCUCUUUGUGUGAAGGCUUAUAUAUAUUGUUCCAGAAGCACUGUUUCCCUCUUUAAUGGUAGGGAGAUAUUUUGUGUUGUCAUGAUGACAUUAGGUGGCGGCAGGGCUAUCAUCACCCUACGGGCGGCUGAUAGAGAUCGUGGUAAGUGAUGCAGCUAUCAGAGAUCGUGGUAGGCGAUCAUGUGAAGUGAUCGUGAGAAGUGACUUGUUGUCACUUCAUCUUGUCCUUUCACUCUACAGGUGGCAGAACGUGGGCUAUGACAGGCUGUUGUGAUAACGUGUAAGACUUGCUUAUUUCAGUCAAUGAUCCGGACAAUCAUAUCCGGAUGGCCUAUGUUGGUCAUCCAGAUGUAUUGCGGAAGUCGUCCGGAUGUUAUGCUUAUUAGUGUCGUGUGCCUCUCCUUGAGGUAGUCCGGAUAGGAGAAGCGCGCCACGUGUACUCUUAGGGAAAUCCGAAUGAGGGUGAUCCGGAUGAUAAUGCGUGCCACAUGUCACCAUGAGGUGUGUGGCACGUGUUCUUAGGAGGAGGGGCCCCUACAAUGCCCCCCUUUUUAACUUGCCUAUUUUGCCCGAGCAAAAAAUGGGCGGGUUAAAAAAAUAAUUGGUUUUUUGAAACUGAAGUCGUCCUUUUUGUUUGUUUGGGCCACGUGGCGAGCGGGGGUGAGGAAGCCAAAAAAGCAUUUAUGAUGGGCCGCCGACUCUGGGUAUUCCCAAGCAGCAUGUCGUUUCAAUGAUGGCGCAACUGUGCGUUUGGUUUUCCGAGGGGCUGUCUCCCUAUAAAUAGCAUACUGUGUCUUCUGUUACAUUUUUCCUACUGCGUUUUUUUUCUGUCAGUGCUGCUUCUUCUUCCUUCUGUGCUUUCCUUUGUUUUUCUGAGUGAAGCCCUAGAAUUUUUCUGCCGGUGAUUUUUGCGUUCUUGCCGGUGACUGUACUGCGGAUUUCAACCCUACUCCUCCAGACUUACACUUGGUACGUGCAUUUGUUCUUGUCUUUUCCUUUGCUGCGUUUGGCUUUGUUGGUUUUGUUUCUGAUUUGUUUGGGUAAGUUGCUUGCGACUGUGUGUGUGAAUGUUGGUAUUUUUUGGUUUCUAGGGUUUUUUGAGGGUGUUUUUUACUGCUGGUACCUCUUUCGUGCAGCUUUACGAAACGAGAAGAUGUCUGCGAACCAGGAAGUGACUUCACCUAGCCCAUGCGGUGCUGCUCAUGCCAAAAAAUCUGUUGACAAAUUGAGCGUGAAGGAGUUCCAUGAGCGAUUUUGUAUUCCCAACGGUGUUUCUAUUGAAUUGACCGACGAGGAGGCUGUAUCGACUGAAAACAGUGAAGACCACGCUAUAUUUUUCAGCAAGGAGCAAUUCAACGCUGGGCUCCGGUUCCCCCUUCCGUCGCUGUUCAAGGAAUUCCUGCAUUUCACCCAGAUUCCCCCGGUGUAUAUUCAUCCGAAUAUGGUCCGAGUGUUGAUGGGAUGUAGCAUCCUGAAUAUGUUGUUUAACUUGGACCUCACUCUACUGGAUGUGUUGUUCAUCUACUCGAUCAAGAAGCUAAAGACUGAUAUCUUCAGCUUUGUUGCAUGCCUGCCGUCCAUGUAGUUGGUGACUAGUCUGCCGGACUCCACCAAGGGGGGUGCCAAGGGUCAUGUACUGGUCAAGGACGUAUGGGCAGGUUUGGCGGUUCAUCCGAACAGACCAUUCACCCCCAAUCAGUCGUUGAAAGUCCCAGGUAUUGAGAUGGUUGUGUUAAAGUAAGAAUUCACAUUGUAACUAUGUGAAUGGACUUUUUUGACAUCUAAGCUAGCUACUUUUGUUCUCUCUCCUUUUUCCUUUUUGAAUUCUCUCUUCUUUUAUGAAAAGUCCUCAAGUUGAAAAAGAGUCUUGUUACUCCUAUCUUUCUACAUUGUUAUUAUUUUCCAUUAAAAUGAACCACCAAAUAAAGUUAUAAUUUCAAAUCCACCUACGAUCCGUUUAUUUUAUUUUAUAAAUAAAUUUAAGUAUAAAAGACAAAACUAUUAUAAUGUAUGAAUAAAUAAAAGUGAUUGAUUUAGUCAUAUGACCAAUAUCAAAUAUUUGCUUUUGAUAUCAUUGUAAAAUCUUAUCAUUCAUUAACCAUCAAUGUAAAUAAUAGUUUUUCUUCAUCCCUUAAUCACUUUCCCUCAAAAUUUGUAGGACUUUUUUACAUCUAACACUUUUAUAUAUAUAUAUAUAUAUAUAUAUAUAUAUAUAUAUAUAUAUAUAUAUAUUUCCUUUUUUGAAUUCUUUCACUUCUUUUAUGAAAAGUCGAUGUACCUAGAAUAUUAGGUUGAAAAAUGAGUUAUGACAUGCCUAUCUUUCCUCAUUGUUCUAAUUUUUCAUAGAAAUGAUCCAACAAUUAAGUUGAAAUUUCAUUGGAAGAUGAUGGAUGGUGGCCAAUUGGUCAUGGCCAUGGAGUUGGUAUUAGUGGUCCUCUUAUGAUGUUCUCUAGGUAAAGUCAAAUAAUCUCAUUAUUCAAGACAACGAGCUUUGUCUUCUAUGGAAAAAAGAUAAUUAGGAGAGUUUGUCUUAGAACUAUAUAUCUAAGUAAAACAAGUCGCUAACAUGAUAUGGACAAAACUCCAAAUUUCAUCUAAGUAAUUCAUAUCCACAUAUAAUUCGAGGAACAAUUUAAUCUCCACCUCUUAGUAAAACUUUUUUAAAAUAAAAAUUAAUUUGUAAUCAUGUUAAGAACUCUAGUGGAUCUAAGUAAGAGUAUUUCUAAAAGUAGUGACACCAUCUAGAGGAGAAGAGUCUACUAAGUUUUUGGUUGCACCUAUCUCAAUUCAAUUCAAAAUGUUGUGGAUUAUUGAAAAUGAGUUUAUAAAAGAAAAUGAAAAUCUACUCAAAAAAUUUGAAUACUAAGAGUCUAAAUUCCAAGAAAUUUAUCUAAUGUGAAAUAAUUUUACUUUUGGAUGACAACCUAUGUUCUCUUUUUACUUUUUUUUUUUUGGCUUGUCAAACUAAAUUCUUAUUUUUUUGGCAAAUAGAAUGAGAUGGUUGGGUCUAUCAUAAUGUCAGGUCAAUCAUUCCAAUAAUGGAAUCAAUUUCUUAUGUUUAAGCACUCUAGAUUUACCACAGUGCAUGUCCAGUUAAUUAUUCAAGUAAGUGGAUCCAAACUUCUCUUUUUAAUAUCAUUCAUUACAAGCCACAAGAUUUAUAUGUUGAGCUUAUCUUAAUGUUAAAUUAGAUGCUGGUUCAAGCCAUGGAAUUUGAACUUCUCUUCACAACAAUCUUACUUAAUUUCGUUAAUUUUGAAGAAAUUGCUUUUUAAAUGGAAAAGGAUUGCCAUAAAAUUCUUUAUUGUGAUGAUUAAUUUAUCAUUUACAUCUAUACUUACCUAAUCUCAAUCCAUUUAAUUAUUUCAUUUAAUUUGAAAUUGGCUAUGUAAGUCAUGGUAAACUUUCGAAAUGCAAGUUUUUCAUGGAUGGAAGCAUAUAAAAAAAUUGAAUAUUAUUGUAUAGGAUGAUAUACAUUAUUAAUAUUAUAAAAAUAUCAAAUCAAAUUCGGUUAUACUUGAAUUGUUUGAACCUUGGUUCAACUCCAACUCAAAUUUAGUUCAGGUGGAAAAACUUAACCCUUGCCUAAUUAAGUGUUGAAAAUGAUUGUGCAAAUCCACCGAAAUAUUGGGUGGGAUCAAGUAUCCCAUUCAAAUUGCACCCUAAUGCUAAGGACCGUAUUUCCCUUUCUUUCUUUCUAUAUUCUUGAGGGGACUCUUUUACAUCUAGUUACUCUUUGACAUCUAGCUACUUUUUUUUUCACUUUUGUGAAAAGCUAAUGUCCAUGGACCCUUAGGUUGAAAAAUGAGUUAUAUAUAACUUGCCUAUCUUUCCACAUUGUUGUUUUCUCAAUAGAAUUCAAAUCGACAUCCUUUUACAACAGAAUGAUGGGGAGUGAUCCUUUGGAUGUGAUGAUACAAAUUUGAUUUGGUUGUACAUUAUUUGGGAGAAACAAAGUCAUGUAAAUUUAUUCAUAUGUUAUAUGGGUGUAUUUGGGCAAAGUACAUUGAUAAGUUCUCAGUUGACAUUUAUUUAACACUGACUGUUGUCGCCUCGCGUAUCCGGUGAUCCACGUUGCUGCUAGAGGGAUGGACACGUGAUUCUCAACACACAAGGGGUUCUUGAUUCAGCGAUUGCACCUGCAAAAGGCAUCCAGACAGGGUGUCCGGACGCACCCUCCGAUGGUUUUGUUAGCCAUGGUGAAAGAGAGAUAUAUAAAUCAGUUGGCCUUUUACUAGGUAUCAAGAGGUUACCAGGGGAUCAGCCUUUUCUUCUUCGUGUGAAGUCAUAUAUAUACAGCUUCAGGGGUACUGCUCCUUUCAUUAAUGGUGAGAAGAUAUUUUAUGUUGUGAUGAUGAUAAUAGGUGUCAGUAGGAGCACUAUCAUCCUACGAACGGUUGUCAGAGACCAUGGUAGGUGAUGCGGCUGUCAGAGAUCGUGGGAAGCGAUUAUGUAGAAUGAUCGUGGGAAGUGACUUGCUGUCACUUCCUCUUGUCUUCUCAUUCUGCAGGUGAUGGGAUGUGGGCCAUGGCUGCUUGUUGUGAUUGCGUGUAAGACUCGCUUUACUUUAAUUGACCAUCCAGACGAUUUAUAUCCGGAUGGAUCAUGCUGAUUAUCCGGAUGUGUUGUGGAGACUAUCCGGGUGUCUACGCUCUGCCAGCGUCGUUUGCUCUUCCUUGGAUAGGAGAAGCUGAAACGUCGUUUGUCUUUCCUUGAGGGGUUCCGGAUAGGAUAGCCGCACCAUGCAUAUCUUUAGGGGAAUCCGGAUGAUGAUGGUCCGGCUGAUAACACGUGCCACGCGUCACCAUGAGCUGCGUGCCACGUGUUUCCCAAGGGAAGGGGUCCCUACAUUGCCCCCCUUUUUAACUUGCCUAUUUUGCCCAAAAAAUGGGCGGGUUAAAAAUAACUGGGUUUUUGAAAAUUGAAAAAGUCCAUUCGUCUAACUUGGCCACGUGGCGAGUGGGGGUGCGGAAGCCAAAAAAGGCAUUUAUGGCGAGCCGCCGACCCUGUGUAUCCCCAGGCAAUAUGUCGUUUCAAUGAUAACAUGGUUGUUGGUUUGCCUUUCCGAGAGGCUGUCCUGCUAUAAAUAGGGUACUGUACCUCUUUUUGCAAUUUUUCCUACUGCAUUCUCUUGAGAGCCUUUCUUCUUACUGCUUUUUCCUGCGUCCUUUGCUUCUCUGAGACAAACUUCGAAAGCUCUUUUGUACCGGUGCUUUUGUAUCGCGACUUUGUUUGUUUGCUGCUGGUGAUUUUGUAUCAAGGCAGUACCCGUUCUUCUUCUUCGGUGCUUUAUUUGGUACGUACCUCUUUGCUACUGCCAUUCCUUUGGUUGCAUUUGCUGGCUCUUUAAAUUUGUUUUCUGGCUUGCUUGGGCGUUGUUUUGGACGAGUCGUUUGCAAUUGUUGUUGAAUGUUGGUACUUUGUUGUUGUUUGGAGGGGUUUUUGAGGGGUUUUUCUGACUGUUUUGGGUUAGGGUUUGUGUAUUUUCUGACUGCUUGGUUUGAUUCGCUGUAUUGCUUUUGUAUGUAGAUUUUGAUUUAGCUUUGUGGUAAAAAAUGGCUCCAAAAAAGGCUGUUUCAUCUGUCCAGGUUAGCGAAGCUAGCGAAAAGGCGAUAGACAAAUUAAAUGCGAAGGAGUUCCGGGAGCGAUUCCGCAUCCCCCAUGACGUAUUGAUAGACUUGGUGAACGAGGAGGCGGCUAUGCCUACUGAGAAAGGUGGAAAAAACGUUAUCCUCUUCACAAAGGAACAAUUCAACGCGGGGCUCUGGUUCCCUCUGCCGGCGUUGUUCAAGGAAUUCCUCCACUUCUCUCAGAUUCCACCCAUCUUCAUUCAUCCCAACCUUGUCCGGGUGCUGAUGGGAUGCAACAUCAUCAACAUGCUGUACAGCCUCGACCUUACGCUACUGGAAUUGUUCUUUGUCUAUUCCCUGAAGAAAGCAAAGAAUGAUAUCUUCAGUGUGUCUGCUCACCUGCCCUCCCUUCAAAUGGUGACAGAACUGCCAGAUUCGACAAAGGGAGGGGCGAAGGGGCUGGUGGCAGUCUGGGGUGGAUGGGCGGGGCUAUCGCAGCAUCCGUCGAGGCCUUUUUCUCCGAAUUAUACCUUAAAAAUUCCGGGUAAUCUUGUUUUGUCAUUUUUUGUCCGGAUUUUGCUUUGCUGAUUUUUUCUGAUUUUUCCGGACGGAAUUCUCACCUUUUGUUGCUGACAAUGCAAGUUUGGAAUUGAGGGGCCACCUUGUGGAUUGGGUGGAAAAGGCGUCCUUUGCCUGCGUCUGCAAAUUAUUCGAAAUAGAUCCCAAGGAGAGGGCCUACAAAACAUUGCUUUCCGCGCGGAAUUUGAUAGAGGUCGUCCGGGAGCCCCAGGAAUAUGUUAUCAAUAUUCUUCCUAGGAAACUGGCAAAGGAUGAGAUAGUGCUUGGGGAGCAUUAUACUGUGAAGGAGCUCCCCCUCUAUCAGGAAGCUAAAGAGGCUGACGCUGAAAGGCGGCGAAAGCUCCUGGAGGAUAGAGAUCAGAAAAAAACUGAAGGCACUAUCCGGAAGGCUCUCGGACAGAAGGGGGGUCCGGACCCUCCUUCAAAGAAAAUUCCAGGAAAGAGGGGGAAGCUAGUGAAGAAGCAUGGGAAGGAUGUGAAGGAACCCACUCCUCCCAAGGAGUUUCCUCCUCCACAAACUACCUAUGAGGGGGAAGUAAUGAUAGAGGAGCCAGUAAAUGCUGCUCCGCACUCUAUCUCAAGCGGCCCCGGACGCAUGUCGGGGUUGAAUCACUCAGGUCCUUCCUUAGUCUCGACUGCGCGUCUGGCUAACGUGGCUGAGGAAGCUGCAUCUAUCAACCAUCCGGGCGACCUUAAUCCGGAUGCUGAUGCAGCUGAAACGGCCCCGUUGGAGGAAGCGGGGGCAGAAAGCCAAAGUCAGCCUUCCGACGACCCGGAUCGCUUGGCCAUAGUCCUGGUGAAAGGGCCUCCCCUCAAGAAGCCGCGUUUGACGCGCGAUCUACAGUCCGGACUCUUUGAGCGGCUUUAAGAGCGGCAGCAAGAGAUUGAAAUUAGCUGCGCUUCUGCCCAUGACGCUCAUCCGGAUGGAGGCGAGGUGGAGAUGGCUACUGAGACCUCAGCCGCUCCGACAAUAAUUCCGGCUGAGGAUGCAUCCGGACCUAUGUGUCCGGACGAAGAUAUGGGGGUUCCGAUUCCGGGACAAGAGUUACCAUCUCCUUCCUCACCUGAGGAGGAAUCUGCUGACGAUGCCGCUCCCGCUAGCCCUUUCAGCUACGCGGAGUUGGAAGUUAAGUUAAAGCAGAUUACACCUGAUUGGAGAGCCAUCAAGCCCUCUGCUCAGAUGUUUGAUAUGAUAGAAACGGUAUAUCGUUGUCUUGUGUUUUUGCUUUUUGACUUUUUGUUGCACUGAUGUGUUUGUUGUAGUAUGAUUUAUGUCUUUGCUUUUCUUGUUUGUGUGUCAGCUGGUGAGGGGCCUCCGCAGCAUGUCUCAACAACACGAUCUUUUUAUUCAGCUGCUGCAGACUGCAGACUAUAUGAGGACCUUCUCCUCUCGGCGCCAAGAGAUUGAAAAUCAACUGCGUCUGAGAAUGGAGGAGGCUGAGGCCAGUCUAUCCACCAUGCGAGAGGAAAAUGAAGCCCUCCGGGUGGAGUUGGCUGAGGCAAAGGGUCGAGAAGAAUCAACUGCGGGCCGCCUUCAUGAGGCGGAGGGUGAGGCAGCCCGGCUAAGGGAUGAAUUGAGUCAACUCCGGACAGAAGUUUUGAAUGAAAAGAAACAGAAGGAAGACUUGCAGCUGCGCCUGGAUGUGCAAAAAGAGGAACUUGAACGGGAGUUUGCUGUGGAAAGAGAGGAACUUGCAGCGGAUUACCAGCAACAAGUGGAUGAUACGUUUAUCUUUGGGUAUCGCUGCUGCAUGAAGAAGAACGGCAUUAAGCGAGAUACCCCUACAAUUCCUCCGGGUGAAGAAAAGAAGCUCCAUGAGAAGCCUGCUCCCUGAUAGUUUAUCUCUUUUUGCAAUUUUUCUGCUGUAAUUUUUCCUUCUGUAUUUUUUUUGUGGUCCGGAGAUCUCUUUGUAAUUACAUUUACUCAUAUCAAUAAAACAUACUUCUUUCUCAUUUGCACUUGUGUAUACUUUCUACUGAUAGUACUGCUUUAAAUUGGACACAUUCCAUGGUCUGAGUAACGGAGUGCCAUCUAGCUUUUGUAAAUGAUAGGCUCCAUUUUCGUUUGCCUUAGACACUAUGUAGGGUCCUUCCCAAUUGGCUUGGAACUUUCCCGCGCCUACUUCAGCAGUAUUUUCAAAAACUUUUCUAAGUACUAGCGUACCAUUUUUGAAGUUUCUGGGCCUGACUUUUCGAUUGUAAUGCGCUGAUGCCCUUUGUUGAUAAUCUGCCAUCCGGAUGGACGCGCUUUCUCUGACUUCGUCUGCCCAGUCCAAAUUUCUUCCUAGUUCCGUGUUGGCGUCUUUUUGCUUUGCUGCAUCAGUCCGGAUAGUAGGAAGACCUAUUUCAGUGGGAAUGACUGCAUCCAUUCCAUAUGUGAGGGCAAAAGGAGUAUUUCCUGUUGGUCGUCCGGGUGUGGUUCGAUAGGCCCACAGGACGCCGGGUAGCUCCUCCACCCACUUCCCUUUGGCUUGCUCCAGCCUUUUCUUCAAGGCAUUGAUUAGAGUUUUGUUUGUGGCUUCCGCCUGGCCAUUGCUUUGAGGAUAACGUGGCGUGGAGUAUGAAUUCCGGAUAUUCAAUUCCGAACAGAAAUUCCUGAAUGCAAUGCUGUCAAAUUGUGGACCAUUGUCAGCUAUGAUGAUUUGGGGAAUUCCAAAGCGGCAAACAAUGUUCUUCCAUACGAAUUUGGUGACAUCUUUAUCUUUGAUGCUUGCAUAUGCUUCAGCUUCUACCCAUUUACUGAAGUAAUCAGUGGCGACAAGGAGGAAUUUCUUCUGGGCGGGUGCUGCUAGGAGGGGUCCCACUAUGUCCAUGCCCCACUGCGCGAAAGGCCAUGGGCCUGAGACCGAUUUUAAUGCGGCUGAUGGCAUGCGCGGAAUGGGAGCGUAUCUUUGACAUUUAUUACACUUUUGAACAUAUGCUGCCGCGUCUUUCUUCAUUAUUGGCCAAUAGUACCCCUGUGAAUGAGCUCUAUGUGCUAGGGAUCGUCCUCCCGUAUGAUUUCCGCAUAUUCCUUCAUGUAAUUCAGCUAGCACAUACUGGGCCUCUGAAUGCCCAAGACAGCGAAGAUAAGGCCCUAUGAAAGAUCGCUUGUACAGGUGCCCCCCGAUCAGGGUGAAGCGGGCAGCCUGCACCCGGAUUUUGUGUGCUUGUUUAAGAUCUUUGGGUAAAGUGCCUGUCCGGAGAUAUUCUGCAAUAUCAUGCGUCCAUUCUUGAUUAUCCGUUUGGGUUGCCUCAACGGUGUUGCAAGUGGAAUUUUCUGCGACAAAGGGAUUGGCUUGCACAUGUAUGGGCAAUAGAAUGACUUCUUUGAUAGGUAGAGAGGCAGCUAUGCCGGCCAAAGCGUCAGCGUGCCUAUUGUCAGCUCGCUUAAUUUUUUCGAUUGUCCACUCGGUGAAUUGCUGUAAGGUGCUUCUUACUUUGGCCAAGUAUCGCGCCAUGCGUGAGUCCUUAGCCUCAUAUUCUUUCUGGACGUGCCUUACCACUAGUUGCGAGUCGCUGUAGAUCCGGAGUUUGGAGACGGAUAGAGCAAGGGCGAGGUCCAAUCCGAACAGGAUGGCCUCGUAUUCUGCUUCAUUGUUAGACGCGGAGAAUCCCAGCCGGAUGGCUUGCUCCAGAUGUUCCCCAGUUGGGGACUGUAAUAAGAGCCCAACUCCAGAGCCUGAUGAGCGUGAGGCUCCGUCAACUCGUAGUGUCCACCACUCCUGUUCACUUGAUUCGUGGUGCUGGUUGGGUCUUCGUGAAUAUUCGAGCACAAAGUCGACCAUUACUUGGCCUUUUUUGGAUAAUCUGGGUUGGAAUUCGAUUCCAAAUUCGCUCAAUUCGAUGGCCCAUUGUAGCAUUCGCCCGGUUAAAUCUGGUUUGUGCAGAAUGCUACGAAGGGGUUGGUCGGUCAAUACAAUCACUGGGUGGGCUUGAAAAUAGGGGCGGAGCUUUUGGGCAGCACUUCGAAGAGUUAAGGCUGUUAGCUCCAUUUUUGAAUACCUGGUUUCUACAUCUGCCAAUGCCCUGCUGACAUAGUAGACAGGUUUCUGCUCCUUUGGUGAAGGGCAGCGGAAUAGAACGGCGUUGAUUGCCCAUUCUGAGACAGCUAGAUACAUGUAUAGCUUCUCCUUUGGGAUGAGGCUGCUCAAGAUGGGUGGAUGCAUAAGACAAUGUUUAAUUCUUUCCAACGCGUUUUGGCAAUUGUCCGUCCACCCCUGCGUUCCAGCUUUUCGUAUUGCCAAGAAGAAGGGUCGCAACUCAUCAGUGAAGCGGGCUAUGAAACGUCCUAACGCAACGAGCUUGCCUAUGAGGCGUUGUAACUCCUUUUUGUUCCUGAGAGGAGGUGUCUCCAUGACUGCUUUGACCUGAUCCGGGCUGACUUCUAUGCCUCUUUGGCUGACCAUAAAUCCCAGAAAUUUGCCAGCACUCACGCCAAAGGCACAUUUGGAAGGAUUUAGCUUCAUGCCAUACUUUCGCAAGAGAUAAAAAACUUCUUGUAAAUGGAGGAUAUGCUGCUCUCGCGUUUUGCUUUUAACUACGAUAUCGUCAAUGUAUACUUCGACCGAGCGGCCUAUCAGAGGUUUGAAGAUUUUAGUCAUCAAUCUUUGAUACGUGGCGCCAGCGUUCUUGAGUCCGAAUGGCAUGACUUUGUAGCAAUAGAGGCCGUGUGGCGUUAUGAAUGCUGUUUUUUCUUCGUCAUCCGGGGACAUGGGGAUUUGAUGAUAUCCGGAGAAGGCAUCCAAGAAAGAGAGCAUCCCCUGUCCGGAAGUGGAAUCCACAAUCUGAUCUAUUCGUGGUAAGGGGAAACUAUCUUUUGGACAUGCACUGUUGAGAUUGGUGUAAUCUACACAAACUCGCCAUUUUCCUUCUUUUUUGGGUACCACGACUACGUUUGCCAGCCAAUCCGGAUACGAAACUUCUCUGAUGAAUCCGGCUUCGAGCAAUUUAUCAAUCUCGUUCCGGAUGAUUCUUUGUCUAUCCGGGUGGAAGCGCCUAAUCCUCUGCCGGACGGGUCUGGUAGUUGAAAAGACGUUAAGCCUGUGAGAUGCAAUGGAGGGAUGAAUUCCCUUCAUGUCAGAAUGUGCCCACGCGAAGAUGUCAUGGUUCUGUCUGAGGACUUUUUGCAUGCCGCGAGUUUCUUCUUGUGUCAUGAGGGAACUGAUGUUUGUGAGGUGAUCACUUUCCUCCGAAAUUUGGAUUGUCUGUAAGGGAUCUGCUACCGGGGGAUCUUUGUCCGCCGGAUCCAAUAAUUGCUAUUGGUCGUGCGCAAUGCUAGGUUCAGGGGGAGAUGCAUCCUCCUGGUUAGCGACUGCCUCGCGUGCUAUUUGAUAGCACUGGCGAGCGGCUAAUUGGCUGCCAUACAAGUCGGUUUGCCCUUCGUUGGUGAGGAAACUCACCAUUUGAUGAUAUGUGGAAGGGAUGGCUUUCAUGUAGUGGAGCCAUGUGCGUCCCAAGAUGACAUUGAAGGGUGAUAACUCUUGUACCACCGAGAAUUGUACGUUGAGAGUGACUGGACCAGCUUGGACCGGCAGUAUAAUGUCUCCUAUGGAUGUGGUUGAUGACCCAUUGAAUCCGGAUAAGAUUCGUCCGGGGUUUUCGAGACCCGCGAGACUAUGUCCCAUAUGGCCAACGACUGAUGCUUGCACCAGAUCGGCUGAACUGCCUGGGUCGACCAAGAUACGUCUUACAUCAAACUCUCCUAUUUCUAGGGAGAGGAUGAGGGCGUCGCGAUGUGGCUGUAGCGUCCGGGUGGGAUCUGCUGGUGGGAAAAUGAUUGUCCCAUCUAUGGGGCGAGGGCCCUCUCCAGUAAGACCCGGCCGGAUGGAAUUAAUGCGUUCGCGUAUUGACGCGGCUCGCAGCAAUUUCUGCUUUUUCCUUCUGGAAUCAUAUUCCUCGUCAGAUGGGCCCCCGUUGAUAUAGUUUAUGACAGCCUUGGGGGCGAUUGGGGCACUCGGGGCCCCAGAGUUACGAUGUUGAGAUACGUCUCUUCCUCCAGUAUCUGAGCGGAUGUACUGUUUUAAAUGUCCUGCUUUGAUGAGCCUUUCAACUAGAUACUGGAGGGACCGACAUGUCUCUGUUGUAUGACCAUGGUCUUUGUGAAAGGCGCAUUUCUUGCUGCGGUCUCUUAUGGAUGGGUCCGUUUCGAGGGGUCUAGGCCACCUGAAGUCGGACAACCCUUGGAUCAUUGGGAGAAGCUUUUCGUAUGAUAUGGAUAGGGGUGUGAUGGGCGGCCUAUCCGGACGACUCGGCCCGUCCUGCCUCCGGUCAACUGGUUUUGGCCGGUCCGGAGGUUUGGCAUGUUUGUCCGUGUUAUCUCUAGAAGCCCGUCCGGCAACCAAAACUUGCUGGGUGGCUGCACGUACGUCAUCUUCGAGCAUUGAAUAUUUGUUAGCACGUCUGAACAAAUCGUCCAUCGUUGUAGGAGGCUUUUUGGCCAGCGAUUCAAAAAAUGGAGUGCCUGGACAGAUGCUUCUUUUGAAGAUCUGUAGGAUAGCAUCCAUGCUGCAAACCUCUAUUUGGAGUACGGCUUGGCCAAAUCGUUUCACAAAUUCGCUCAAGGAUUCGUUGUCUCUCAUUUUUAUGUUCUGGAGGGUGCUGAUAUUCUGCUUGUGUCGAGCAGAGCACAAGUACUGUCCCACGAAUGCUUCAGAGAGGUCCCUGAAAUUGUCAACAGAGUUAGGAGGUAGGCGAUGAAACCAUGAGAGGGCCUGCCCUUGAAGGCUGGCGGGGAAUACUUUGCAUAGCAAUGCAUCGUUGCCAAUAUCGAGCGUCAUGAGCUGUCGAUAGUGCAUGAUGUGAUCGAAGGGAUCGUUGGUCCCAUCGUAUGUGGAAAACUUUGGUACGAGGAAUCCCCUUGGGGGCUCGUAAUGGGUGAUAUGAGAGCAAAAGGGCAUGGAGAGCAUGUCAUCCAGCCUUUUGCUGAUGGAGCCAAUGGGUGGCUCGUUUGGGAGGUUUCUCCCAGCUGGUCGUUCCGCUAGGUGUGAGUGAACGUUCCGCAUCGCUGGGGUGACCAUGGGGUCACGAUGCGGAGGUACGUUCUGCACCAUGGGAGCGAUCAUAGGAUCGGGGCGUGGUGCCCGGGUUGUGGCUACUGGUGGCCUUGAUCUCCCAGGCUCUUGUGGGCCUAGUCUUGCGCGCAUAGAACUUGACAACUGUGAUUUUCUAUCACGUUGUCUUUUUGCUGAAAAAUGAGUGGAAUCUGAGCUUUCCUCACGGGGAGCUCGAGGCAUGGGCGUGCGUGGCUCAUGGGGCCUUGCGUUGUAUGCUCUUGGGGCAGCUCCUGUUGACCCAGGAUAUAUCGAUUCUGGCUCUGGCCUUGAAUUUGCCACCUGGCCUCUUGAAUGUUGACGACGAGGAGGACCUAACGUUGAGGCUUGAAUGCGUAACACAGCGUUUUCUUCCCUUAACCUCUCCGUCUCCUGGAGGAGAGCUCUUAGUUGUUUUUCGCUCGCCAACUGUCUUUUUUCGAUGGCUUGACGCCAUUCGUAAUUAUCUUCCUCCUUUCUACCAGAUGAUCGACUUUGGGAAGGUGUGGCCAUCUUUGCUAGUGACUGAAUCAGAAUAAAAAGUAAAAGUUUCCCACAGACGGCGCCAAUGUUGUCGCCUCGCGUAUCCGGUGAUCCACAUUGCUGCUAGAGGGAUGGACACGUGAUUCUCAACACACAAGGGGUUCUUGAUUUAGCGAUUGCACCUGCAAAAGGCAUCCGGACAGGGUGUCCGGACGCACCCUCCGAUGGUUUUGUUAGCCAUGGUGAAAGAGAGAUAUAUAAAUCAGUUGGCCUUUUACUAGGUAUCAAGAGGUUACCAGGGGAUCAGCCUUUUCUUCUUCGUGUGAAGUCAUAUAUAUACAGCUUCAGGGGUACUGCUCCUUUCAUUAAUGGUGAGAAGAUAUUUUAUGUUGUGAUGAUGAUAAUAGGUGUCAGUAGGAGCACUAUCAUCCUACGAACGGUUGUCAGAGACCAUGGUAGGUGAUGCGGCUGUCAGAGAUCGUGGGAAGCGAUUAUGUAGAAUGAUCGUGGGAAGUGACUUGCUGUCACUUCCUCUUGUCUUCUCAUUCUGCAGGUGAUGGGAUGUGGGCCAUGGCUGCUUGUUGUGAUUGCGUGUAAGACUCGCUUUACUUUAAUUGACUAUCCAGACGAUUUAUAUCCGGAUGGAUCAUGCUGAUUAUCCGGAUGUGUUGUGGAGACUAUCCGGGUGUCUACGCUCUGCCAGCGUCGUUUGCUCUUCCUUGGAUAGGAGAAGCUGAAACGUCGUUUGUCUUUCCUUGAGGGGUUCCGGAUAGGAUAGCCGCACCAUGCAUAUCUUUAGGGGAAUCCGGAUGAUGAUGGUCCGGCUGAUAACACGUGCCAAGCGUCACCAUGAGCUGCGUGCCACGUGUUUCCCAAGGGAAGGGGUCCCUACACUGACCACUAUGGGAUGGUGAGGGCUUUCGACUGUUUUUGGACACAAUGAUAACAAUAAUCAAGUUGUAUAACAAUUGUAUGUAGUAUAUUAGUUCCUCGGUUGUGAGAACUUGGAGAAUAUGGAACACGAUGUUAGCGCUAUGGUGAAGAUAGGUGUGGAGGUUGAUUUUGCACACAUUAAUUAUGAUGAAAGUGACAGUUGCACCAUCUAGGAAAGUUGCACAUAAAAAUGAUUGUAAUUGUAUGACAUUUGUAUAGGGACUAUAGUACACAAAUUUCUGGUUGUAAAUGUAUCUUAAUGGUUAUAGGGACUUUUGUUAUCAGAAUUAUGCAUGGAAUUUAAUUGAUUGAUUUUACAUUUCAUAAUAGGGUAUUAAGUGUUUGGACUAUAAUGGAUUUUUAUUUUUAUUUUUUGUAUUUGUUUUAAUAUAUUAUGUCAUUGUGUUUCAAUUUUGUAAGCUGCUUGAUUCAAGCUAAUGCUAACUAUUUAUAUGCUAUUCUCUCUUAUUUCAAUUCAUAUAAUUACUUCAUUCUAUUUUUUUUGUUAAAUAAAUAAAUUAUGUCUUCUAAACACACGUCUGAGUAUGGAUUGCAACUUAUAAAAUUGUAAAAAAUAAAAUAAAAUUAUAUCAUAUUUUUUAUAUUUUAAGAAUUUUUAAUAUAAGCUCUUAAUCUAUAUCAAUAAAUCUAAUCUACUAACAGGUGAAAAAAAGAAAUUUAUGUACAAAGAAUUGAGAUUAAAAUAUAAAAAAAAAUUAAUCAACAUUACAAUGUGAAUAAAUGGGAUGUAUAUAAUUAAUAUUGAUUACUUUUGGCAUCAAGGAAAAAUCUAACCAUGUGACAACCACAUCACUCUUUAAUGCGCUUUUCAACAUAUGGCUACUUUUAUUCUUUUUCCCUUUUGCUUCUUCAAUUCUUUAACUUCUUUUGAGAAAAGCCAAGUACAUGGGCCCUUUUAAGUUGAAAAAUGAGUCAUAGCAUGCUUAUCUUUCCACAUUGUUCUAAUUUUUCAUAGAAAUGAUCCAACAAAUACAUUGAAAUUGUAUUGGAAGAUGAAGGGUGAUUGCACCAAUUGGCCAUGGCUAUGGAGUUGGUACUAGUGUUCCUCUAAUAAUGUUCUCCAGGUAAAGUCAAAGUAUUUUUGCCUUCUUCCCCUUUACUUUAAUUACCAUUUUAUCGAUUUGAUUAGUGUAAUUAUCUGAAAAUAUAUAUCAUUAAUAUUUCUCUAAUCUUGGAUUGGAUUUAAAUUGAUUAGAUUGUCUAAUUUAAAAUCCAUUCAUAAUUUUUUCUACUAUAUUUAUACAAAAAUUUAAAUAGUAAAAUAAAAUUUUAAAAUAGUAAUAAAAAAAAGUAGAAAUAAAUUUACAUACCUUUAAAAAAAAUGAAAAAUUACAUGAUAUGAUUAUAAUUUGAUGUUUUUAAAAAAAUAUAAAAUAUAUAUAUUAUUAUGUAAAAAAUAUAUAUUAUAAACAUGAUGAAAAUAUUAAAUCAAGUUUAUUAUCUGUUGACAAAUAGAAUGAGAUGUUUAGGUCUACUAUAAUGUCUAGUCAAUCAUUCGAGCAAGGAGAUUGGCUAUGUAAAUCAUGGUAAGCUUUCUAAAAGCAAGGUUUUCACGGAUGGAAGACCAUAAAAUUUAGAAAGAUUCCAUUAUAUUUACAUCUUUCACUUCCAUCAUAGAAAGCAGACAUACAUGAAUGGGCCAUGGGUUGAGUGAUGGCACACCUAACUUUCCACAUUGUCGUCAUUAAUUUCCAACAAAAAUAAUUGACGGCAUUGAGUUCUUAUUGGAGCAAAGAAAGCUGCUACUCCAUUCCUAUUCUUCCUAACGACGUCUUGUGUCUUUCAUUUCCACUUCGCAUCUGCUAACCUUCAUCUUCCCCUCAAUUCCUUCACUUCCUCUGCAGAGAAACAGGCAUGGCCCUAGAGAUAUUUGCAGGAGCUUUUCUCUCCGCUUCUCUCCAUGUUCUUUUCGACAGGUUGGCUUCUUCCGAGGUAUGGACCUUCAUCGGGGGACAGAAGGUCAGUGAGGAACUCCUUCUGGAGUUGGGGAUGAAAUUGCUGGUUGUGGAUAAAGUGCUCGACCAUGCUGAGGUAAAGCAAUUUACAGAUGAACGAGUCAAAAGGUGGUUGGUGCGCGUUAAGAAUGCUGUGUAUGAUGCGGAAGACCUACUGGACGAGAUUACCACAGAAGCUUUGCGACGCAAGAUGGAAGCUGCUGACUCCCAGACUGGCCCAACUCACGUACUGAACAGCUUUUCCACAUGGUUUAAGGCCCCACUUGCUGAUCAUCAAAGCAUGGAAUCUAAGGUAAAGAAGAUCAUCGGAAAACUGGAAGUUCUUGCACAAGCAAUAGAUGUGCUUGCUUUGAAGGGUGAUGGUAAGAAACUGCCACAAAGAUUACCCUCGACUUCUCUGGUGGAUGAAUGUUGUGUGUACGGCAGGGAUGAAAUUAAAGAGGAGAUGAUUAAAGGGUUGUUGUCUGAUAAUACAGGUCGCAACAAGAUAGAUGUGAUCUCCAUAGUCGGCAUGGGCGGCGCAGGCAAGACCACCCUGGCUCAGCUUUUGUAUAAUGAUGGGAAAGUGAAAGGACACUUUCACCUGAAAGCAUGGGUUUGUGUUUCGGAGGAGUUUUGUCUUCUCAAGGUGACAAAAUCAAUUCUUGAGGGAAUAGGAUCUGCGGCCUCUUCUCAUAUGCAAAGCGAGAACCUGGAUUUGCUUCAGCAAAACUUAAAAGAUAGCCUUGGUGACAAGAAAUUUCUACUCGUUCUGGAUGAUGUUUGGGAGAAAUGUCCUAGUGAAGGGGCAGGGUUACGAAUUCCGCUCCUAGCUGCUUGGGAAGGGUUACGAAUUCCACUCCUAGCUGCUGGGGAAGGAAGCAAGGUUGUUGUGACCACUCGCAAUCGAAACGUUGCAAAAAUCAUGCGUGCAGAUCAUACUCAUCCUCUGGAAGGGUUGUCCCAGGCACAUUGUUGGUCCUUAUUUGAAAAACUUGCAUUUGAAAAUGGAGCCUCGGGCCCAUAUCCUCAACUUGAAUCAAUAGGCAGAAAGAUCGUGGCUAAAUGCCAAGGAUUGCCUUUAGCGGUCAAAGCACUUGGUUGUCUCUUGUAUUCUAAAACUGACCGAAGGGAAUGGGAACAAAUUUUGGAGAGUGAAAUUUGGGAUUUGCAAGAUCAUGAAAUCGUUCCUUCGUUGAUAUUGAGUUAUCGAGAUCUCCCAUUGCAUCUGAAACGAUGUUUUGCCUAUUGCUCCAUUUUCCCCAAGGACCAUGAAUUUGAUAAGGAGAAUCUGAUUUUACUAUGGAUGGCAGAAGGACUUCUACAAUUUUCAAAAAGCAAUGAAAGAAUGGGAAAGGUAGGUGAGAAGUAUUUUGAUGAACUUGUAUCGAAGUCAUUUUUUCAGAAAUCUGCUUUCAACAAAUCAUGCUUUGUCAUGCAUGAUCUCAUGCAUGACUUGGCUCAAUAUAUAUCUAGAGAAUUUUGUAUUCGAGUUGAGGAUGAUAAGGUGCAAGAAAUCUCAGAGAACACUCAUCACUCAUUGGCCUUUUGUCGUACCUUUGAUAGAUUGGUUGUGUUUAAGAGGUUUGAGGCCCUUGCAAAAAUAAAGUGUCUUCGAACGUACCUUGAGUUUUCAGAGGAAUUUCCUUUUUAUAUUCCAAGUAAAAGGGGAAGUGUUGAUUUACACGCUAUAUUAUCUAAAUGGAGGUACUUACGAGUGUUGUCAUUGCGUUUUUAUAGACUUACUGAUUUGCCCGAUUCAAUAGGUGAAUUAAAAUAUUUGCGUUAUUUGGAUAUCUCAUAUACUGGGAUUAAAAAGUUGCCUGAUUCCGUGUGUUAUUUAUACAAUUUACAAACAAUGAUUCUAUCAGUAUAUUACCAUUUCAUUGAAUUGCCUGAAAGGAUGGAUAAAUUGAUUAAUUUGCGUUAUCUUGAUAUAAGAGGAUGGAGAGAAAUGCCAAGUCACAUUAGUACAUUAAAAAGUUUACAGAAGUUGAGUAAUUUUAUUGUGGGCCAAAAAGGUGGAUCAAGAAUUGGUGAAUUAGGAGAGCUUUCAGAUAUUGGGGGAAGACUUGAAAUUUCAGAAAUGCAGAAUGUGGAGUGUGCUAGGGAUGCGUUGAGAGCGAAUAUGAAGGAUAAGAGACACCUUGAUGAACUAUCCUUGGCAUGGAGAGACGAAGGUACUAAUGAUGUUAUACAAAGUGGCGUCCUCAACAACUUGCAGCCUCAUCCAAAUUUAAAGCAGCUUACCAUCGCAGGUUAUCCCGGUGUAGCAUUUCCAGACUGGAUAGGAGGAGGUUCUUCACUCUCGAAUCUGGUCACCCUGCUGUUGUGGACAUGUGAAAAUUGUUCAUCAUUGCCACCACUUGGGCAACUACCCUCUCUUAAACAUCUUUCUAUCUCAGGACUAAAAGGAGUAGAGAGGGUGGGAAGGGAGUUUUAUGGGGAUGCUUCUUCCUCCAUUGCAAGUAAGCCCUCCUUCCCAUUCCUACAAACUCUAAGAUUUGACAGGAUGGACAACUGGGAGCAAUGGUUAUGUUGUGGAUGCGAAUUCCAUCGUCUCCAGGAGCUUUAUAUAAAGAAAUGUCCCAAACUCACAGGGAAAUUACCAGAAGAGCUUCCUUCAUUGAAGAAACUUGAAAUUGAUGGAUGUCGGGGGCUGCUUGUGGCUUCACUCCAAGUUCCAGCCAUUCGUGAAUUGAAAAUGGUGGGUUUUGGUGAAUUGCAGUUGAAAAGGCCAGCCUCUGGCUUCACUGCUCUUCAAACUUCACAUAUUGAAAUUUCAAAUGUGCCUCAGUGGAGGCAACUACCAUUGGAACCGCACGAGCUCACAAUUACAAACCUUGAUGCUGUAGAGUCUCUACUAGAGGAGGGAAUCCCGCAAACCCACCCUUCUGUCAUGCAUGAUUUGAAAAUCAGGGGUUGUUAUUUUUCCAGACCGUUGAACAGAUUUGGUUUUUCCAUGGUCACAUUAAAAUCGCUACAAAUCUGUGACUGUAACAACGUAGGGUUUCUCCUACCUGAGUUGUUCAGAUGCCAUCACCCAUCUCUUGAAGAAUUAAAAAUCAUCGAUAGUAAAACCGAUUUAUCUCUCUCAUCAUCCUUCUCAUUAUCCUUCUCUUUAGCCAUCUUCCCCAGGUUGAUUCAUUUUGAUAUCAGUUCUGUAGAUGGUCUUGAAUCCCUCUCCAUCUCGAUUUCAGAAGGGGAACCAACUUCUCUUCGUUCGUUGGAAAUUAUCAAGUGCGAUGAUCUUGAAUAUAUUGAAUUGCCUGCUCUCAACUCGGCAUGCUAUAGUAUCUCGGAAUGCUGGAAGCUCAAGUCGCUGGCACUCGCACUCUCAUCCUUGAAGAGAUUAAGUUUAGCAGGUUGUCCACAAUUGUUGUUUCACAACGAUGGUUUGCCCUUCGACCUACGUGAACUCGAAAUUUUCAAAUGCAACCAACUCAAGCCCCAGGUGGACUGGGGUUUGCAGAGACUGGCCUCUCUUACAGAAUUCAUAAUCGGUGGAUGCCAGAACGUGGAGUCAUUUCCCGAGGAGCUCCUGCUGCCCCCCACUCUUACCACUCUUGAAAUGAAAUAUUUUCCAAAUCUCAAGUCUCUGGACGGUAGAGGGCUUCAACAGCUUACCUCGCUCACAAAAUUAUCCAUCCGUCACUGCCCUCAGCUCCAAUUUAUUCCACAAGAGGGGUUUCAACAUUUUCCUUCUCUUAUGGAAUUAGAGAUCGAAGACUGCCCGGGCCUCCAAUCCUUUGGGGAAGACAUCCUUCGACAUCUUUCAUCUCUUGAACGAUUAUCCAUCUGUCGGUGCGAUGCACUCCAGUCCUUGACAGGAUCGGGUCUUCAACACCUCACCUCUCUUGAAAAAUUGGAAAUCCGUCUCUGCCCUAAGCUCCAAUCUUUGAAAGAAGUGGGUCUACCAUGCCUUGCCCCUCUUAAACAACUACACAUCUCGGGCUUACCCGAGCUCCAAUCCUUGACAGAAGUGGGUCUUCAACACCUCACCUCUCUUGAAAUAUUAUGCAUCUUCAACUGUCCUAAGCUUCAAUCCUUGACAGGAGAGAGACUUCCAGAUUCCCUCUCUUUUCUACACAUCAAGAACUGUCCUUUGCUGGAACAGCGGUGCCAAUUUGAAGAAGGGCAAGAAUGGGAUUAUAUAGCUCACAUCCCACGAAUAUACAUCGGUCGUGAGGCAUUCUAACGAAGGUGUUUGCUGGAGUAAUAAUUAGCCAGGUACUUAUGCUACAUUUUAACAUUUUAACCAACCAAGAAUUAUAUUUCCACGACUUCUUCAAUUUACCUUUCAAAAUGCUGUGAAAUAUUUUAAUUACUUUAAUCCUUUUGAGGGCCUAACAAAUGUUGAUCUUUUUCCCAUGCUACAAAAUUUGGGAUUUAACUUUGUGAAGAGGAGCAAGGGAAGAUUAACCACAGGUAGGCAACAUUUUGAACAAUUUGAGACUAGAAUCAAAUGUGGUUUUGCAAACAUUUGUGUACAUUGUACUUCCAGAAUGUAAAUUUGUGUCUAUUUCUCUUACAGAGUCACAGAGGAAAUCAAUAAGAUCUCAAAUUGCAAGAAUUUCAGGUCACUGAUGCUUGCUCUGGUACUUUACUGAGUAUCACGAACUGUUCGUGGCUGAUGUCCCACAUGUAGUAAGAGAUGAUCUGGCUUUCUAACGACGAUGAUUGCACACCAAUUUACAGUCAGUCAGGUAAUUUUUGUUUUUGUUAAUUAUUUCAGUUUGGUAUAUUAUUUGAUUCCAUAUCUCCUGCUAUUGAAUCUUUUCAGAUUCCGAUAAUGGUCCAUAAGUUGAAGCUUUUACACAACUAUGUUGCAAUCCAGGUGCAUUGAGCAGCCCUACAGAUUUGGUGUCUUGAUUAGCAUUAUUGGGUUUGUUUUCCAUGGGCUAAAUCAUUGGGAACCACUUUUGAUUAUCAGUUUCUAAGGGGCAUUGUGUUUCAGGUAUGUAACAACAAAGACACAUACUACCUUCUGCAUCCCAGUACCCUUCACAAGAUUGGUGCAGGACAUGCUCUGUUUCUUUGAUUUAAGAUUUAUUCAGAGGGUAGGACUCCGGAACAAAAAUAGAAGAAGAAUGGGGGGAGAAUGACUCAGGGAAGCUAUUGCUUUAAGCAUACACAAGAAGCAAGACACAGAGUUCUGAUGAAUGCCAUUUUCUCUUUUGCAUUUUGACUAGCAUUUGAUCCAAGUACUCCUUUCAGAUCUUAAUACUCCAUUCAAGGGACUGCAGAACCUCAGCUCUCUUCAAGAACUGAAUGAUGUUUUCUCACACUUUUGAUGGAGAAUGAACCCUCCUUGUUUGUUGAAUUUAAGACUUAUUUUGAAACUAGAAACCAGGAACAAAUAUAUGAAGAAGAGCAAGAGAGAGUUGACCCUAGAUAGCUUACAUUAUUGCGCAAAUUUAUGUUAGAUCUAGGACUCAUUUUGGAAACUACUGGUCCAAAAACAAACACAGUGAAGCAGAACUAAGAUGAUACAAUUUAUUAAAGACUUCUCCAAAUCUAUUUUGUGUAAUCAUUUAGAUGACUCAAAUUAAAAUUCUUCAUGCUUUAAAAAUAUGUCACCCAUCAUAUUCUGUCCACUCCCUUCCCCUUCAUAUUUUAAUUCAUCAUCAAUUAGAGUUUCUAAUGCCAAUGAUAAAUUAAACUCCAUAGUGAAUUUUUCUUAUUCUUUUUCUGAUCAAUUGUGAUUAUGAAGCAAAUAUCUUAAAAAGAUAAGUCAGAGCACAUCCAUAGCUGUACCUCUGCAAAUUUCUGAUCAAUUCAUCCAUGUUUUCUUUCCUUUUAUUUAUUUUUAUAUGGUAGCUGUUGAAUUCUCUGACUAUAUAUUCUCAUAAACUCACACCCAAUACUUUCAGUUUCAUAUAUGAUCUAAUGGAAUGAGUUAACACCUAAAUAUUUGUCUAAUUGUUGUGUCUUUUGCAGAUGCCUUCCACUUUCGCCAGCCUUGUAACCCUACUUAUUCGAAGGUAUUUCCUUUUCUUCCCUGCUCGUUGUAUAGAUAUCACUACUUUGCUCCUUAUAAACUGCACCAUUAGUUUUAUAAAAAAAAAAUAGCACCUGUAAUGCUGCAGCUGUUUUCAUGGCUGGUCUUGCUCCUAAAAUUUUUGUCUUUUGUAUGUUCAAAGCGAGGGUUUAGUUAUUAUGAUGGCUCUUUGAAAUGGAAGGUGGAGUUAGGAAGAUGUGUCUGUUGUAGCGGCUGUGACAUAAUUGCUACUAAAAUUAAGAGAUAUUAUUCUUGAUGGUUCUCUCCCUCCUCCUUGAUGGGAUCUGCGAAAAUUGACUAGUGAGUGAGCCACUACCAUGCCUUUCCAUGCUAUAUUACUGAAACAAAAUUGGUCAAAUCUUACAGAGGUGGCUCUGUUUUGAUUUGGCAGGCUUGCACUUACGAGGAGUCCCCGUGGUGAAAGGCCCUGGAGAUUUUCUUGUUUUGCACCAAGUCAACCAGUUUCAAAAGACAAGCCAGUUUAAGUACAACAUCUUUGUGAUGUACCUUUGGAACUUUUUUCUUUCCUGAUUUUGAUGUCAUUUUCUGCUUGGUUUGGUCUUUCUUGGGUGUCAACAGUGACCAGGAAUUUUUGACAAAAUGGAGAGUGCCAGUCUCCCUCUCUUAUUUGACGGUCAACUACUGUUGUUCUCUCCAAGAACAGUUCCAAUUCAGGAAAGGGAAAGAUGGGCAUUAUAUAGCUCACAUUCCACAAAUGGAGAUAGGCCUAGUGCUGUUCUAAUGAAGGUGGUGGUACAUCAAUAUAUAACAAGGUAAUUGUUCUAUGCUCAAAAUAAAUUUCUUCCAAAAAUGUUUCACUUGAGAUUUUUCUCUUAACCCAACAAGCCUAGUUCGAGAUAAUUCACACUUCAACACAGCCAGCUUUCAUUUUAUUUGGCAGAUUGCACUUACUGGGAGUUCCUGUAACAAAAGGUUGUGGUGACGCUUUAUUCUGCCUAAACAAGAGGAUCACUUACCAAAGGCAGGGGGAUAGAAUUCUAACAUCUUUGUUCUAUGGUUGCCACUCGUUUCUUUCCCAAGUUUUGAUGUCAUUUUGUUAUUGUUUUCGUUCUGGUGUUUGUUAGGUCUUGAUUGCUCGGGGAGAAUACGAAGAUGUUCUAUUGCUGUGGGGUUAUGGUCUUAGAAUUGAGAACAUUCUUGUGCUUCUAUCGGUGACUAUGGGCAUUGGUUCUCAUUGUUUGUGUCAACAAGAGUCAAUUGUAUAUUUGUAGAGAAAUAAUGUCUAAAUUUUUAAUGAAGGUUUACUCCAUGAGACUUGCAAGAAGAAUAUUGUAAUUAAAUUGAUCAACCUAUGAGACUUUUGGUAGUUCUGUUUGCCAUUUUGAUGUCGGUAUCAUCUUGAAGUGGUGGAGUGCAGUUUCCUCAUUGAACUUUAUGAUUUUAUAUGGAAAAGAUGAUUUUGAGCUUAUUCAUUGUCUUCAUGCAUUUUUUUUUUUGUUAUUUUUGCUCAAAUUUGGAAGUUUAUACCAAGCUAAGAAUGUACAAAUUGUUAUGCACUCUUUAGAUUGUUUGUUUACCCAUUUUGUUGUCAUUUUAUUCUUGUUUUGGUGUUUGUUAGGUCUUGAUUGCGACCAGAAAUUUAAUAGAUGUCUACUGCUGUGGAGAUGAUUAUUGAGAUCACUCAUGGAUCCCAUUCCAAACAAGCCUAUUCUUUCAGUUUUUCUAAUGAUUGAGCAUUAUAAAAUUAGGUUGUGUGAAUAAAUUUCUUUUAUCCUCUUAAUAGACUAUCUCAAAAGCCCUUUUGAUUUACCAUUUUAGGGUUUUGAUUCUAUUGGAUUUGUUGUCAGCCCUAGGAAGUUCCUGUUUUAAAAUUUGAUUUGUAAUGUUAAGACCAUUAACAAAGUGACAUUGUAAGUAUCAUUUUCCAUGGAAUAAUUCCUUAGAAAGUUCAUGGCAGUCCCCAUUUUCUUCAUGACAAAUAUUAGAACUCUGAAAGCCAUCUCUUCCCUAAACCAUUCCUGAUAAUCAAUUUUGAGAAUCAUGAAACUGUUUCGUCGAUGACAGCAGCAAAAUAUCAGGAAUUGCAGAGCCUCAACUCUCUUGAAGAAUUGUGUAUGUACAAA